GACGAACGCUGGCGGCGUGCCUAAUACAUGCAAGUAGAACGCUGAAGGAGGAGCUUGCUUCUCUGGAUGAGUUGCGAACGGGUGAGUAACGCGUAGGUAACCUGCCUGGUAGCGGGGGAUAACUAUUGGAAACGAUAGCUAAUACCGCAUAAGAGUAGAUGUUGCAUGACAUUUGCUUAAAAGGUGCAAUUGCAUCACUACCAGAUGGACCUGCGUUGUAUUAGCUAGUUGGUGGGGUAACGGCUCACCAAGGCGACGAUACAUAGCCGACCUGAGAGGGUGAUCGGCCACACUGGGACUGAGACACGGCCCAGACUCCUACGGGAGGCAGCAGGAGGGAAUCUUCGGCAAUGGACGGAAGUCUGACCGAGCAACGCCGCGUGAGUGAAGAAGGUUGUCGGAUCGUAAAGCUCUGUUGUAAGAGAAGAACGAGUGUGAGAGUGGAAAGUUCACACUGUGACGGUAUCUUACCAGAAAGGGACGGCUAACUACGUG
RNAcentral lists this ribosomal RNA (495 nucleotides) under uncultured bacterium. Its description in RNAcentral is "partial 16S ribosomal RNA". It matches the Rfam family "Bacterial small subunit ribosomal RNA", at positions 28 to 507 of the family's 1533-position model. The record is from RNAcentral.